CCAGUCGUCACGUUCUGUUUUUAUUUACAUUUAUUGACAUUUUACACAGCAUGUAAAAUGCAAAACCAGAAUCAUGGUAAACCUCCAGAAUGUAUUAUUACACUUUAAUCUCAUUAGUUGUCUUAAUGAUGCUCGUCUUAUUGGCUGAUCGAUAUGAAAUGUCUGCAUAUUCAAGUGGUUGCAAGGACAAACUCGAAGACUUCAAAUGGUCUCGUUGGUAAAAGUUUAUUUCCACGAUAAUUCCAAUACACUCAUACCAGCCGGCACUCGCAUUUUCUGUGAUCACUCCCAUAUUUUUCCCUCCUCCUUUCUCCCAAGUCAAACAACAGUCACUAAGCCUUAUCAUGUGUGGGCUAAUUUGAGCUAGAGCCCAACUCACUUCUGGGAAGUGUCCGAUUUUGACAGUACUUUAUUUGUUCAGUUCCCGGAAUAAUUUAAAAGGAGUUUCCAACCUUCAGAAUAGUUUGGCAUUUUUGGCAGGUGGAAAGAGAGCAAAAAUUUUUAAAGGAAAAUAGCAUAUAAAGACAUCAUUAAAUCAGUACAACUACACAUGUGAAUUAGACCUGUAAAUCACCAAGCCACACACUGCUUAAUGACAGUCUUUUUAGAAUAAAUCUCUCAUAAAGCCAAAUAUAAUCUGAGACAACAUUCAGUAUGCAGCCGAACAAAUUCAGCACUUACGCUUGCACUUUAUUGGGAGCUCAUGACGUGAGAAAUAGUUCAAUAUGAUCAAAAUAUAUCGGUUAAAAAACAUUCUGUCUUGGGCCUUGUUUACUAAGUGAUAUGUGUUCACGUGUUAGGCGUACGGUGGGUUCAUCCAUAUGAAAUGAUGCCCGUUUUCAUCAAGUUAUGAGACCGUUUAAAGGAAAUGGGUGAAGCCACUUUGGUCAAACUCAAUUAUGGUUUUAGCGCGAGUGAAUCUGAAUUCACAAAAGAAGCUCUGGGGUGAUAUCUGCUUUAAUGCAGGACAUUUGAAUAUGUUCUCUAUCAUGACUAGCUAGGAUUAGCUUCGUCUGCUGCAGGUCACUCUGCAAGAAGACUGAGUUAGGUUUAGUUGUAGUUGGUGCCAGAUGAGCAAAUGAGUUUUAAUGGGCAAUCAAAUGAGCUUCACAGAUUGGUCAGUGAAUUUGAAGAAUCGUCACGGCAGACAGGGUAAUCCCUGGAGCCUGGAGAAUACUGUAACAGUUUGUUCCAAGAUAAAGAAGCAACGAAGAUCAGCGAGAGACAAUACAGGCUGCGGUAGACAUAACAGGCAAAAACUUUGUUGACAGUGCAAUCAGAACGGGCUUUAAGUCGAGAUCAGCCCCCAGCAAUUAAUACUGUCAAGUAUUUGAGCUGUAAAAAUGACCAAAAUGUGCGUCUGUAUCAUCUAAGGCCAGCCCAAGUCAAUUUUUUUUCUAUUUUUUUUCUUUGUAAAAUGCAUUAGUAAUGCAUUAGUAAUGCAUAAGUAAUUUUUUUUUUUUUUUUUUUUGCGUUAAGUGAGAAAUGAUCGAAAUAAUAGAUAAUGCAGUUUAGGAUGAUUAUUUUUUUGGUCUGAAUCCAUUAAUCGAUACGAGACAAGCACAAACACAUCAGUCUAAUGAAGUUUCCAACAAACAGUAGUAGCUGAGAACCGGAGAUAUUUGACAUAUGUUAUUAUGACAGAAUAUUUUGAGCAGGUUUUAACUUCUCAGCAGUUAUCAAAAUCUGGUUCUCACUUGGAGAGACACCUUUCUGAUAACGUUACCAUAAAUUAAUAGCCAAA
Ictalurus punctatus (channel catfish) is the source of this 1744-nucleotide long non-coding RNA. Lineage: Eukaryota; Metazoa; Chordata; Actinopteri; Siluriformes; Ictaluridae. The record is from Ensembl.